RNAcentral lists this ribosomal RNA (631 nucleotides) under Pseudomonas aeruginosa. RNAcentral describes it as "bacterial SSU rRNA". It matches the Rfam family "Bacterial small subunit ribosomal RNA", at positions 123 to 749 of the family's 1533-position model. The record is from RNAcentral. Lineage: Bacteria; Pseudomonadati; Pseudomonadota; Gammaproteobacteria; Pseudomonadales; Pseudomonadaceae.
AAUCUGCCUGGUAGUGGGGGAUAACGUCCGGAAACGGGCGCUAAUACCGCAUACGUCCUGAGGGAGAAAGUGGGGGAUCUUCGGACCUCACGCUAUCAGAUGAGCCUAGGUCGGAUUAGCUAGUUGGUGGGGUAAAGGCCUACCAAGGCGACGAUCCGUAACUGGUCUGAGAGGAUGAUCAGUCACACUGGAACUGAGACACGGUCCAGACUCCUACGGGAGGCAGCAGUGGGGAAUAUUGGACAAUGGGCGAAAGCCUGAUCCAGCCAUGCCGCGUGUGUGAAGAAGGUCUUCGGAUUGUAAAGCACUUUAAGUUGGGAGGAAGGGCAGUAAGUUAAUACCUUGCUGUUUUGACGUUACCAACAGAAUAAGCACCGGCUAACUUCGUGCCAGCAGCCGCGGUAAUACGAAGGGUGCAAGCGUUAAUCGGAAUUACUGGGCGUAAAGCGCGCGUAGGUGGUUCAGCAAGUUGGAUGUGAAAUCCCCGGGCUCAACCUGGGAACUGCAUCCAAAACUACUGAGCUAGAGUACGGUAGAGGGUGGUGGAAUUUCCUGUGUAGCGGUGAAAUGCGUAGAUAUAGGAAGGAACACCAGUGGCGAAGGCGACCACCUGGACUGAUACUGACACUGA